CGAGUGACGCCAUCAUCCAGCGCGGUGUUUAGGCUUCACUGUUGUCGUGGCGCUUUGGGGCAAGAAGUUGGUGUUGCUCGGGCCCCUGGGACUGAAGACGAGGUCCGGGUGACUCCGGCCCUUUCCUACCCACAUCUCCCUCGCUCGCCUUUCUCUCCUUCCUCUGGCAGGAUGAGGCGUGCAGGCCUGGGUAAGAAGUGAGCUGAGGUUCAAAGUUUGGGGACCCCAGAAACAGCCUUGCUCGGAGGCAUAGAGCUGUGGGAGGGUCUCGACUGGUCUCCUGUCAUAGGCAUUGGGGCUUUAAAGUGGGAUGUUUGAAGGUAAUCUUUGGAGGCAGUCCGAGUGGAAACACGUAAUUUGUCCCACAUCCCAGGGAGUUUCUUAAGUCCAAUUCAGACCAAGUUUGGAUGGUAGGUUAGAGGGAGUAG
This 428-nucleotide long non-coding RNA is filed under the name Marmota monax (woodchuck). The record is from RNAcentral. Lineage: Eukaryota; Metazoa; Chordata; Mammalia; Rodentia; Sciuridae.